GGGGAAUAUUGCACAAUGGGGGAAACCCUGAUGCAGCAACGCCGCGUGAGUGAUGAAGGCCUUCGGGUUGUAAAGCUCUGUCUUCAGGGACGAUAAUGACGGUACCUGAGGAGGAAGCCACGGCUAACUACGUGCCAGCAGCCGCAGUAAUACGUAGGUGGCGAGCGUUAUCCGGAUUUACUGGGCGUAAAGGAUGCGUAGGUGGAAUUUUAAGUGGGAUGUGAAAUACCCGGGCUCAACCUGGGAACUGCAUUCCAAACUGGAAUUCUAGAGUGCAGGAGAGGAAAGCGGAAUUCCUAGUGUAGCGGUGAAAUGCGUAGAGAUUAGGAAGAACACCAGUGGCGAAGGCGGCUUUCUGGACUGUAACUGACACUGAGGCAUGAAAGCGUGGGGAGCAAAC
This 400-nucleotide ribosomal RNA is filed under the name uncultured bacterium. RNAcentral describes it as "bacterial SSU rRNA". It matches the Rfam family "Bacterial small subunit ribosomal RNA", at positions 356 to 773 of the family's 1533-position model. The record is from RNAcentral.